CAUCUGUAGAUUCUCCGUUACGGCGGAAGACAGAUGCAUCCAAUCGCUGCUUUUAACACAAACAUCUCCCACUACUCACACGAUUUGUGAUUCAAUGCAUCCCUCAUUACUUCCAUUUUGUAAUUUUCCCUAUAAAUAGGUUUGGAAGCGAAAAAUGUUAAACGCGGCCGCGAGCUUAUGGGGUAGACAUGUUCACCGUCGACGCAGAGUUAAUUCCGGCAAGAAAACUCAUAAUCAUCAAACUAUUUCUUGAAAAGCUUGAGUUUACGUAUUUGGGAGAUGAUUUUUGUUUGGUUUGUUGAUGGUUUUUGUUUGGUCCUUCUCCUUUUUAAUCUCCUCUAUGUACAGUUUCCCGAAAACUUUUUAGAAUUUUUAUUACAAGUGUCUUUCUUUAAAUUUCAUCUUUUAUCUGAGAAAAUGAAUAAACUUUGUGAGAUUUCACGUGA
This is a long non-coding RNA of Brassica napus (rape), 446 nucleotides long. RefSeq lists it as uncharacterized. The record is from RefSeq and is a predicted model, not a curated record. NCBI's taxonomy places the organism in Eukaryota, Viridiplantae, Streptophyta, Magnoliopsida, Brassicales, Brassicaceae. The transcript has 2 exons.